UUCCUUGGGCAAAAACGGUAGGUUUUGGGUAUCUUUGUGCAGAUGACAUCUUUCUUCACAAUUUAUUUUUAUUCUCUAUAACAAAUGAUAGGCAUUCUAAACUUUGGUAAUCAUUGCUUUACAGAUCUGAUGCAAAGCAAAGCAAAGCAAAAAAAAAAAAAAAAGCUUCACUCCCAGCUCCUUACACAGCAGUGGGAGACUGAGGUCACUGGUUUCAUCCCGCACAGAUCCCAAAGUACAGCUUGGAGACGGCUACUGUCCUCAUGUAAAACAAAAUUAAUUCUCAUUGAUCCUGAUGCUCUCUGGAAUUCACCCAGCAAUACUGCAGAAUGAGUUCAGUUCAGAGAUGUUGUAGAAAUGCAGUUUUCUUUCUUGCUUGUAUUACUGUACAGUUAUCUUUCAUCAGUUUUCGUUUCCCACUUCAACUGUUUUACUUUCAUUUCACUACUGCUGAUCUCGAGUUUCGCUCAUCGCUGUUCCGUAUUACUGCGCUGAGGAGUUUCACUGGAAGGACUUCCUCUUCCCACUACUUUUUGCUGCCUUUGUUACGUAACUUACCCAUCCGUGUUUCUGGCAAGGCCUCAGGACCUGCAGCUGCCACUCAGGUGUGGUUUGUGUAAGCAGGUGUUGUGUAUGCAGCAGUGGUACCUGAGGCCCAGUGCACUGAUACCAGAGCAGCCCUUUAUAGGGUUAGAGUUUGCAGGCAUUACAAGGGCACUUGCACCUUGCCUGGGUCAAUUCCUACUUGAUGUACCAGCCACUGCUAGGCUGAACAGCAGCUGACCUCCUGCCCUGCCCUACUCUCCAGUUGUUCUCCAGCAGGAUACCUGCCCUUCUCGCCCUGCAGCCAUUUCCUAGACGAUCAUCCCACUCAGGUCUGGCUGAAGUCAGUCACAGUCUCUGACAGCAAUGUGGGCAUCUCCUGGCCCCACGCGGAACACCACAGCGAGCUCAAAACGCACAGAUGCAGGCAGGGAGACGGCUCAGUAGCAGACAUGGAAGCACACCGCGCCCGUUACUUCAGGCAGGAGACCGCCGCGCAGCGCCCCCACACUGCCCCCAAAGCAACAGCGCGCACGCCCCUAACGGCAGUUCCGGUCAAGGGCAGCGGCGCGGGCCGUGCCGCGUUGCUACGGUAACAGCACAGCCGCCAUUUUGCCGCUCUCGCCGCGACGGCUCCGUGCGCUCUGCGGGCGGGGCCGAGCGGGGGCUGUGCGCAGACAGGAGGCAGCGGUUCAGCUUCGCUCCCGGCUCCUUACGUAGCACUGGGAAGCUGAGGUCGCGGGUUGCUUCCCGAAGUAUAGUUUGGAGUGCACUAUGGCACUCUGAACAUUGA
RNAcentral lists this long non-coding RNA (1336 nucleotides) under Numida meleagris (helmeted guineafowl). RNAcentral's name for it is "lncRNA (ENSNMEG00000022823.1)". The record is from RNAcentral. Lineage: Eukaryota; Metazoa; Chordata; Aves; Galliformes; Numididae.